This 805-nucleotide ribosomal RNA is filed under the name uncultured bacterium. Its description in RNAcentral is "bacterial SSU rRNA". It matches the Rfam family "Bacterial small subunit ribosomal RNA", at positions 1 to 807 of the family's 1533-position model. The record is from RNAcentral.
UCGCCCUUAGAGUUUGAUCCUGGCUCAGGAUGAACGCUGGCGGCGUGCCUAACACAUGCAAGUCGAACGGGAUGCGUAUCGGAAAGCUUCGGCCGGAAGGUGCGUUAUCUAGUGGCGGACGGGUGAGUAACACGUGGGUAACCUGCCUUAUGGAGGGGAAUAACAGAGAGAAAUCACUGCUAAUACCGCAUAAGCACACAGUACCGCAUGGUACAGGGUGAAAAGAUUUAUCGCCAUAAGAUGGACCCGCGUCUGAUUAGCCAGUUGGCAGGGUAAAAGCCUACCAAAGCAACGAUCAGUAGCCGAUCUGAGAGGAUGACCGGCCACAUUGGGACUGAGACACGGCCCAAACUCCUACGGGAGGCAGCAGUGGGGAAUAUUGCACAAUGGGGGAAACCCUGAUGCAGCGACGCCGCGUGAGUGAAGAAGUAUUUCGGUAUGUAAAGCUCUAUCAGCAGGGAAGAUAAUGACAGUACCUGACUAAGAAGCCCCGGCUAACUACGUGCCAGCAGCCGCGGUAAUACGUAGGGGGCAAGCGUUAUCCGGAUUUACUGGGUGUAAAGGGAGCGUAGACGGAGUGGCAAGUCUGAAGUGAAAACCCUGGGCUUAACCUGGGGACUGCUUUGGAAACUGUUAAUCUAGAGUGUUGGAGAGGUAAGUGGAAUUCCUGGUGUAGCGGUGAAAUGCGUAGAUAUCAGGAAGAACACCGGAGGCGAAGGCGGCUUACUGGACAAUAACUGACGUUGAGGCUCGAAAGCGUGGGGAUCAAACAGGAUUAGAUACCCUGGUAGUCCACGCUGUAAAC